Xyrichtys novacula (pearly razorfish) is the source of this 1708-nucleotide non-coding RNA. NCBI's taxonomy places the organism in Eukaryota, Metazoa, Chordata, Actinopteri, Labriformes, Labridae. The record is from the annotation of a GenBank genome assembly.
GUUGACCUUGGGUCCUGGACUAUGUCACUUUAUCCUAGUUGUAGAAGUCCUGCAAACAUUGUGUUUGCUGGUAGUCUGUUGGCAUCUACAGUAGCACCAAUGCUGUUUACUUUCACGUUGACUGGACCCCAUUUGUAAUCAUCUGAAGUAUUUAUCUGCAUUAUAUCUGAAUUUAAUUGCAAUGAUACGAGCAAGCAGGAGCGUCUGUUUGUGGGCGGGGCUUGCUGGAGCAGAGAGGGAGGGGAGAGGAGGAGCUGAGGGUAAAACUGGUUGGGAGGGGUAGAGUUUACAUUCAAGAUUUCUCCCCAAAACUGGCUCUUCCUCAGAUCCUGACUACCCCACCUUUAAAUGGUUCAAAGCAUAAACACGAGAGAACUGAACGAACUACCAAACUGUUGCCAAGCAAUGCAAACAAUUUCUGGCUAUUGCUCCUAUAUGAAUGUUUACAUAUUACCACUUACUCCCAUCUAUUUGUUUCAUGUAAUUUAUGAUCACAGAAAAUUGGGUGUAAAAGAAUUUCUUGGCGGCAUGUUCAACAAAUUAAUCUUAAAGCAGAUGCAUAAAAAAGAUGAAGAAAAAGCAGUGAUAUGAAUUUCACUUUCUGUCAUAAACAUAGAAACUCCUCACAGGAGCUUUAAGAGAGUGCUUUUGUUGGCAGAAGGUGUGCAACGUCAGUCCAAGAACUCCACCUGCUGGGCUGCUCCUGCACAAGCUUUGGCCGCUCUAUUGUAAUCUAUCAGUGACAGGCGAGGUUAUCUUUUGGCUUCUCUCAAAUCUCAUGCAAAGAUGGCUUAAUGUCAUCCGACAUGCAGUCAAUUUUCUUGAUGAAAUGUCUACUUUUGCAUCAAUUAAAGAUACUCAAAACUCCAGAGGCAGAAUAACACACACAGUUUAAAGCAUAUGGGGUGAUACACUUCACAUUUAUCACACUUUGGUCUUCUUACAGUGAUUUUUAAAGUUUCUACCAUCAAUGUGCCUCCUCUGACCUCUGUCAUGAGUCUUUUUCUUGCAUGGAGCAGUUUCAGUGGCCUUGUGCCUCUGUUUUUUGGACUGCCUGGUAAAUAAAUCAGAGUUUUACAACACUAAUAUCACUUUACACCAAACAUUAGAAACAUUAUACAACUGUAUUGAAAGUUAUUUAUUCAUAGCUGAUUUAUCAUCUUCUUCUAAUGAAUCUAUUUACGGUUAAAAGGCCUUUCCCCCCCACACACACACAUAAUGCUUUGUGCUCAUUGUUUCUUCACUUGCGGUUUGCUCUUUGUUACUGUCUGAUAUGAUGGAUGUGAAGAGUUUUACGCUGGAGGGCCUUUUUUUCAUUCUUCUGUUGCAGUUUUUUUUUAGAGUUCGCCUCAAUCUCCUUGCAUUAAAUAUGUGAAUACAUUAGAGGGAUUUUGCAACUUUUGAAUCUGGUAUCAAUCCAAAAUUUGAUCUACACAAGAGUGAUGUAGGAACCUUCAACACAGCUAACGGGAUUUUCAGUGAAGCGGGAGACAUCUUGUGUCCAGCUGUUAAACUCUUGAAAUAAACAGUAUUUGCAUACUCAGGGAUUCUGGGGUUUCAAUAAGGCAGAAGGAGAAGAUUUGGUUUCUAAAAUUCAUCAUUAUUGACGUUUUCAUACAAAAAAGAAAAGACAGAUCAAACGAGGCAGAAUAAUUUCCGUCUCCAAACAAUUUUAGUCAAUCACGAACUGAUGCACAACAGUUAAAGC